This 956-nucleotide long non-coding RNA is filed under the name Heterocephalus glaber (naked mole-rat). RNAcentral's name for it is "lncRNA (ENSHGLG00100042840.1)". Lineage: Eukaryota; Metazoa; Chordata; Mammalia; Rodentia; Bathyergidae. The record is from RNAcentral.
CACAGACCAGGGCUGUGCCGACCGGUGGAGGGACACUAGGAGGGACCAGACCACCAUCUCCCUGCCAGCUGUCCGCCCUCCCCUAGGACCUUCACACUGGCUUUAAGGUGGACCCGGCACGUCUUCCCUUGGGUGUUGACACUGGGAAUGAAGCCAAGGAAGGUCAAAGGCCUCAGGCUGGAGCUGCCCACUCCAGGCAUCCGACGUGGUCACCUUGAGCACAGCUCCAUCAAACAAGCCUGCUGGCCUUGAAAAAGACUCAUCUUCAGCUUUCUCUCCAAAUCCUCCCCAGGCUUCACAGCAUGGGUCCUUCCCAGGGAGAAAUCAAGAUGAAAGAAUAAAAGCAGAGCUGGAUUCCAAUUCUACGCUGCUCUGGAUGAUUUGGGGCAAGUCACUUUCUCUUUCUCUGAACCUCGGCUUCCUAAUCUGUCACAGGAAAGUAGCUUUCCUUGCAGAGUUGUGUGAGGACUGAACACGGUGGGACCUGUGCCGGCAGGUACUCAGGAAGCCUGUUAGACCACAACUCAGAGGCCGUGGGGUCUGCCAUGGACGCUGCCUCCUAAAUCUCUCUCCUUUUGGCUCCUCUUUCUGUCCAUUGUCAUGGCCCUAGUCUGAGCUCCUGUUUCCCCCUGAAAGCAUUUACAUGAUGAAUUCCUGGGUGCCUCACUGGUCUCCCUAUUCCCUGUCUCUUCUGUCAGCCUCACAGGGCUGGAGAGGUGGCUCUCUCAGAUGCAAAUCAUUGUCCUGGCACUCCAGUGCCAUGCCUGACUUAGGAGCGAGAUGAAAUCCAACUGCCUUCAGAAGCAAGGAGUCCAUUGGUGAUCUGGCCCCAUCUUCCUCCUGGCUGUAUUUCCACACUGCCACUCAGUCUCCUCCCUCCCUCCAGCCCCUUGCUCCCACUCCCAUUGCACACGCUCUUCCUCGGCUUGGCAUGUCCGUACUCAGCGCAUCCAGCU